GUGCCAGCAGCCGUGGUAAUACCGGCAGCCCGAGUGAUGGCCGAUCUUAUUGGGCCUAAAGCGUCCGUCGAUGGCUGCGCAAGUCCGUCGGGAAAUCCACUCGCCCAACGAGUGGGCGUCCGACGGAAACUGCACAGCUUGGGAACGGAAGGCUCGAAGGGUACGUUAGGGGUAGGAGUGAAAUCCCAUAAUCCCGCACGGACCACCGAUGGCGAAAGCACUUCGAGAAAACGGAUCCGACAGUGAGGGACGAAAGCCAGGGUCUCCAACCGGAUUAGAAACCCCUGUAGUCC
This 293-nucleotide ribosomal RNA is filed under the name uncultured bacterium. Its description in RNAcentral is "partial 16S ribosomal RNA". It matches the Rfam family "Archaeal small subunit ribosomal RNA", at positions 455 to 747 of the family's 1478-position model. The record is from RNAcentral.